GACGAACGCUGGCGGCGUGCUUAACACAUGCAAGUCGAACGGAAAGGCCCUGCUUUUGUUGGGUGCUCGAGUGGCGAACGGGUGAGUAACACGUGAGUAACCUGCCCUUGACUUUGUGAUAACUUCAGGAAACUCGGGCUAAUACCGGGUAUGAGCUCCUGCUGCAUGGUGUGGGUAGGAAAGUUUCGGCGGUUGUGGAUGGACUCGCGGCUUAUCAGCUUGUUGGUGGGGUAGUGGCUUACCAAGGCUUCGACGGGUAGCCUGCCUGAGAGGGUUACCGGCCACAUUGGGACUGAGAUACGGCCCAGACUGCUACGGGAGGCAGCAGUGGGGAAUAUUGCACAAUGGGCGGAAGCCUGAUGCAGCAACGCCGCGUGCGGGAUGACGGCCUUCGGGUUGUAAACCGCUUUCGACUGUGACGAAGAGUGAGUGACGGUAAUGGGUAAAGAAGCACCGGCUAACUACGUG
This 468-nucleotide ribosomal RNA is filed under the name uncultured bacterium. RNAcentral describes it as "partial 16S ribosomal RNA". It matches the Rfam family "Bacterial small subunit ribosomal RNA", at positions 28 to 507 of the family's 1533-position model. The record is from RNAcentral.